RNAcentral lists this ribosomal RNA (710 nucleotides) under Pseudomonas costantinii. RNAcentral's name for it is "bacterial SSU rRNA". It matches the Rfam family "Bacterial small subunit ribosomal RNA", at positions 56 to 762 of the family's 1533-position model. The record is from RNAcentral. Lineage: Bacteria; Pseudomonadati; Pseudomonadota; Gammaproteobacteria; Pseudomonadales; Pseudomonadaceae.
UGCAGUCGAGCGGUAGAGAGAAGCUUGCUUCUCUUGAGAGCGGCGGACGGGUGAGUAAUGCCUAGGAAUCUGCCUGGUAGUGGGGGAUAACGUUCGGAAACGGACGCUAAUACCGCAUACGUCCUACGGGAGAAAGCAGGGGACCUUCGGGCCUUGCGCUAUCAGAUGAGCCUAGGUCGGAUUAGCUAGUUGGUGAGGUAAUGGCUCACCAAGGCGACGAUCCGUAACUGGUCUGAGAGGAUGAUCAGUCACACUGGAACUGAGACACGGUCCAGACUCCUACGGGAGGCAGCAGUGGGGAAUAUUGGACAAUGGGCGAAAGCCUGAUCCAGCCAUGCCGCGUGUGUGAAGAAGGUCUUCGGAUUGUAAAGCACUUUAAGUUGGGAGGAAGGGCAGUUACCUAAUACGUAAUUGUUUUGACGUUACCGACAGAAUAAGCACCGGCUAACUCUGUGCCAGCAGCCGCGGUAAUACAGAGGGUGCAAGCGUUAAUCGGAAUUACUGGGCGUAAAGCGCGCGUAGGUGGUUUGUUAAGUUGGAUGUGAAAUCCCCGGGCUCAACCUGGGAACUGCAUUCAAAACUGACUGACUAGAGUAUGGUAGAGGGUGGUGGAAUUUCCUGUGUAGCGGUGAAAUGCGUAGAUAUAGGAAGGAACACCAGUGGCGAAGGCGACCACCUGGACUAAUACUGACACUGAGGUGCGAAAGCGU